RNAcentral lists this ribosomal RNA (512 nucleotides) under uncultured bacterium. RNAcentral describes it as "bacterial SSU rRNA". It matches the Rfam family "Bacterial small subunit ribosomal RNA", at positions 8 to 518 of the family's 1533-position model. The record is from RNAcentral.
AGAGUUGAUCUGGCUCAGGACGAACGCUGGCGGCGUGCCUAACACAUGCAAGUCGAACGAGAUACCCCAAACGGAGGCUUCGGCCAAAGGGAGGGAAUAUCUAGUGGCGAACGGGUGAGUAACGCGUGAGCAAUCUGCCUCUUUGUGGGGGGAUAACGCACCGAAAGGUGUGCUAAUACCGCAUAAAACUAUUUACGGCAUCGUAAGUAGAUGAAAGGAGCAAUUCGCAGAGAGAUGAGCUCGCGUCCAAUUAGCUAGUUGGUGAGAUAACAGCCCACCAAGGCGACGAUUGGUAGCCGGACUGAGAGGUUGAACGGCCACAUUGGGACUGAGACACGGCCCAGACUCCUACGGGAGGCAGCAGUGGGGAAUAUUGCGCAAUGGGGGAAACCCUGAACCGCAGCAACGCCGCGUGAAGGAAGAAGGUCUUCGGAUUGUAAACUUUUGUCUUCAGGGAAGAUAAUGACGGUACCUGAGGAGGAAGCCACGACUAACUACGUGCCAGCCGCUGC